Molecule: long non-coding RNA, 2443 nt
Organism: Oryza brachyantha (malo sina)
Lineage: Eukaryota; Viridiplantae; Streptophyta; Magnoliopsida; Poales; Poaceae
Exons: 5
Source: RefSeq, a predicted model, not a curated record
UCCAUAGGAUUUGGGCGAGAUUGAGUGCGGCGUCGCCGUCGCACGAAGAUGGCGCGCAACCGCUUCCGUUCCUGCUCGUUCCCGCCUCCGCUCUUGCGUGCUCCCGGCUCUACUUUUCCUCGCGCAAGCGCGCUCCCGCGCGACGCCGUGCCCGCGUCCGAUUUCCCGCGCGCGCUCCUGCUUUCGAUUUCCUCUCGCACAGAUGGCGCGCUCGCCCUUCCCUCUCUCGCGCCUGUCCAUGCUCCAAUCCAUCCUAGUUCCAUAACAUAGCAUCAUCCCCCUACGACCCAUCCUAGCUCCAUCCCAAAUCUUCAAGUCUCCAGUUCCAUGAAUCCACUUCGGCCGCCCUCAAGUUCCAGGCGAGGCGGGGGUGCUCCUGCCGCCGUCACUGUCCGAUCUGCUUCGGUCACCGGUGCUCCCGCCGUUCCUGCUCAUGGAUCCACUUCGGCUGCCGUUAAUCCUGCCGCCAUGGCUGCAACUACAUCCCCACCAAACUCUGGACAAGUUCCUCUCUGAUGGGCUCCACCAAUGAAGGGACAUACCCAGCAAGUGGUUUUACCAAUUUCCUCCAGUCAAACUGUAGUCCAGAAAAUUUCCAUUUAGUUGGCAAUAUAACAAGCAGCAGUACAAUUUCUCCAACUGCUCCAAGUUUGAAAAGAACCUUGCCAAUUGAAAGCAAUAGAAAAGAGAAAAAAACAAUCGAUGUUGAUGCAGAUGAAACUAUCGAAGAUGGUAGGACUGAGAAGCGAUUGAACUGGAUGAAAGAAGAGGACAUUAGAUUGGCUUCUGCUUGGGUGCAUAACUCAAAGGACCCAGUUGAUGGAACUGAUAUUCCGUCAGAUCAGUACUGCGCGGAUGUUCAUGAAGAAUACAACAAAACCACAGAGGUUUGUCGUAGGAGAAAUAGGAACCAGCUCAAAAUCCAUUGGGAUCGUGUUAAAAAAACCCGUAACUGAGUUCCAUGGUUGUUGGGUACAAACCAACAAAGUGUACAGUAGUGGUGUGAGUGAUGACCAAUUGAAGGAAAUUGCUGAAAAGAUGUAUGCUUCUAGUAAUAAUGGUAAGGAUUUCAUGCUGAAGCACAUAUGGAAUGUUGUGCGAGGUGAAAGGAAGUGGUCUGCACAUGUGAAGAAAAUAGAACAGGAAAAAGAGAAGAAUAAGGGUGCAACUAAUAGCCCAGCUACAGUGGUGAAUUUGAAAGAUAAGCUUACUGUUCGUCCUAUUGGGCAUAAGAAGGCUAAGGACGAGCGCUAUGGAAAUAAGAAGACACCUGAAGCAUAUUCAGCUAUUAGUGAGAAGCUAGACAAAUUCAUUGAAGUAAGCACAUUGGCUAGGAAGGACCGUGAGAAGAUGUCAGAGACACAAGAAAAAUUGGCAAAUAGUAAGGUUGAAGCUGCUAGGUUGAAUGAGAAGACAGCAGAAAACCAACUUAAGUGUAAAAUGCUAGACACUUAUAGAGUUGUUGUUAGCACCGACAACUAAUCUGAAUGCUCAUGCUUUGGCUGAGAGGGAGAAAACACUCGAGGGUAUGAGGUUGGCCUUAUUUGCUCCAGAUAGUUAAGCAGGUUAUGAAGUAUAACUUGAAGUCCAGAAGUAUAAUAUUGCUUACUACCUAGCUGAUGGCAUAUAUCCAGAGUGGCCUGUUUUCGUGAAGUCUAUACAUGAACCACAGUCAGAUAAACAUAAACUUUUUGCAGAAAAGCAAGAAGGUGCAAGAAAGGAUAUCGAAUGCGCCUUUGGCAUUUUGCAGUCUCGCUUUUGUAUUUUUGCAUCGACCAGCACGUCUAUAUGAGCAAGGGGAUCUUGAAAAUAUUAUGCUUGCUUGUAUAAUCCUCCACAACAUGAUAAUUGAAGAUGAGAAGGACAUAGAGCAGGUUCCACUUGAUUUGAAUGAGGAAGCCACCACAUAUACUGUUCAAGAAGCUACAAUCUCUCAUGGAGAAAACCCAGAGAUGAAAGACAUACUUAGCAGAAAUGUCGCCUUACAUGAUCACCGAGCGCACAAACAACUUCAAUCCGAUUUGAUUGAUCAUAUCUGGCAAAGAUUUAGGAAUUCAAAUAGGCAAAAUAAUUAGAUGAUUCAAGAUGGAAAAACUGAUGGCUUUUGGAGUACAUGUGCAACCUACCUGACAUGAUAUGGACAUCAACUUCAUGCAUGAGAGAUGAUGGAUGAUGCCACCUUAUUAUUUUAUAUAUAAUGAACUAUUCUGUAUGAACUAUAUGUGCUACCUGUUAUCUUCAUCUCCAGAUUACUAUUAUCAGUUAAUGUGUGGUUCUGGAAUUGCUAUAUGGUAAUAUUUGGUUCUUGAAAGUGUGUUGGACCGAAAGAACUUUGUUGUUUCUUUGCCAGCUUGAUAGCGUGUGUUCUAUGCACAAAUUGAUUGCAGAAAUAGUUGCCACAAUUGAUCUGUCUUUUUUGUGCUGCAUUUAAUUUAUCUUUUGU